Molecule: ribosomal RNA, 168 nt
Filed under: uncultured bacterium
Lineage: Bacteria
Description: partial 16S ribosomal RNA
Rfam family: Bacterial small subunit ribosomal RNA
Source: RNAcentral
CGUUAAUGGCAUGGACGCAGUCUGAUGCAGCCCGCCGCGUGAGUGAUGAAGGCUUUCGGGUCGUAAAACUCUGUUGUUAGGGAAGAACAAGUGCUAGUUGAAUACGCUGGCACCUUGCCGGUCCCUAACCAGAAAGCCACGGUUAAUUCCGUGCCCCGGCCGCGGUAA